RNAcentral lists this transfer RNA (71 nucleotides) under Metisotoma macnamarai. Its description in RNAcentral is "tRNA-Lys". The record is from RNAcentral. Lineage: Eukaryota; Metazoa; Arthropoda; Collembola; Entomobryomorpha; Isotomidae.
CAUUAAAUGGCUGAAAGUAAGCAUCAGUCUCUUAAACUGUUUAAUAACAAAUUAACAAAUGUUUUUAAUGA